This 434-nucleotide ribosomal RNA is filed under the name uncultured bacterium. RNAcentral describes it as "partial 16S ribosomal RNA". It matches the Rfam family "Bacterial small subunit ribosomal RNA", at positions 30 to 507 of the family's 1533-position model. The record is from RNAcentral.
AGUGAACGCUGGCGGCAGGCCUAACACAUGCAAGUCGAACGAACCUUUCGGGAUUAGUUGCUGACGGGGGUGGCGAGCGGGGGAACGGGCCGGUAGGUUCCGGAUUACUCAGGUUAGCGUGUGCUAAUGCAGGAUGUGUCCCGCGAGGGCAAGAUUAAUCGCAUUUAGGGAGGCAGGCGUUGGAUUAGCUAGUUGGGUGAGGUAAUGGCGCACUAAGGCGACGAUCAGUAGCUGGUCUGAGCGGAUGAGCAGACACAUUGGGAGUGAGACACAGUGCAAACUCCUACGGGAGGCAGGAGUGGGGAAUCUAGCGAAAUGGGCGAAAGGAUGACGCAGCCAGGCUGCGUGAAUGAUGAAGGUCGUAGGAUAGUAAAAUUCUUUCACCGGCGACGAUAAUGACGGUACCCGGAGAAGAAGCCCCGGCUAACUUCGUG